RNAcentral lists this ribosomal RNA (487 nucleotides) under uncultured bacterium. RNAcentral describes it as "bacterial SSU rRNA". It matches the Rfam family "Bacterial small subunit ribosomal RNA", at positions 28 to 507 of the family's 1533-position model. The record is from RNAcentral.
GAUGAACGCUAGCGGCAGGCCUAACACAUGCAAGUCGAGGGUAACGAUAGAAAAGCUUGCUUUUCUGAUGACGACCGGCGCACGGGUGCGUAACGCGUAUACAACCUACCUUUUAGCGGGGAAUAGCCCAGGGAAACUUGGAUUAAUGCCUCAUAGUAUAUAAGCUUCUCCUGAAGUUUAUAUUAAACAUUUAUGGCUAUUAGAUGGGUAUGCGUCCUAUUAGUUAGUUGGUAAGGUAACGGCUUACCAAGGCAGCGAUAGGUAGGGGUCCUGAGAGGGAGAUCCCCACACUGGUACUGAGACACGGACCAGACUCCUACGGGAGGCAGCAGUGAGGAAUAUUGGACAAUGGGCGAGAGCCUGAUCCAGCCAUGCCGCGUGCAGGAAGACUGCCCUAUGGGUUGUAAACUGCUUUUACAGAGGAAGAACCACCCCCACGUGUGGGGGUUUGACGGUACUCUGCGAAUAAGGAUCGGCUAACUCCGUG